GGAUUAGAUACCCUGGUAGUCCACGCCCUAAACGAUGCGAACUGGAUGUUGGGUGCAAUUUGGCACGCAGUAUCGAAGCUAACGCGUUAAGUUCGCCGCCUGGGGAGUACGGUCGCAAGACUGAAACUCAAAGGAAUUGACGGGGGCCCGCACAAGCGGUGGAGUAUGUGGUUUAAUUCGAUGCAACGCGAAGAACCUUACCUGGCCUUGACAUGUCGAGAACUUUCCAGAGAUGGAUUGGUGCCUUCGGGAACUCGAGCACAGGUGCUGCAUGGCUGUCGUCAGCUCGUGCCG
Molecule: ribosomal RNA, 294 nt
Filed under: uncultured bacterium
Lineage: Bacteria
Description: partial 16S ribosomal RNA
Rfam family: Bacterial small subunit ribosomal RNA
Source: RNAcentral